RNAcentral lists this ribosomal RNA (470 nucleotides) under uncultured bacterium. RNAcentral describes it as "partial 16S ribosomal RNA". It matches the Rfam family "Bacterial small subunit ribosomal RNA", at positions 355 to 812 of the family's 1533-position model. The record is from RNAcentral.
UGGGGAAUAUUGGACAAUGGGCGCAAGCCUGAUCCAGCCAUGCCGCGUGUGUGAAGAAGGCCUUUGGUUGUAAAGCACUUUAAGCGAGGGAGGAGGCUACUUGGAUUAAUACUCUAGGAUAGUGGACGUUACUCGCAGAAUAAGCACCGGCUAACUCUGUGCCAGCAGCCGCGGUAAUACAGAGGGUGCGAGCGUUAAUCGGAUUUACUGGGCGUAAAGCGUGCGUAGGCGGCUUUUUAAGUCGGANGUGAAAUCCCCUGAGCUUAACCUUUAGGAAUUGCAUUCGAUACUGGGAAGCUAGAGUAUGGGAGAGGAUGGUAGAAUUCCAGGUGUAGCGGUGAAAUGCGUAGAGAUCUGGAGGAAUACCGAUGGCGAAGGCAGCCAUCUGGCCUAAUACUGACGCUGAGGUACGAAAGCAUGGGGAGCAAACAGGAUUAGAUACCCCUGGUAGUCCAUGCCGUAAACGAUGU